Molecule: small nuclear RNA, 24 nt
Filed under: Arabidopsis thaliana (thale cress)
Lineage: Eukaryota; Viridiplantae; Streptophyta; Magnoliopsida; Brassicales; Brassicaceae
Description: snRNA_16535
Source: RNAcentral
UCGCCGACAUUAUGAUUUAAACUU